Molecule: ribosomal RNA, 225 nt
Filed under: uncultured bacterium
Lineage: Bacteria
Description: partial 16S ribosomal RNA
Rfam family: Bacterial small subunit ribosomal RNA
Source: RNAcentral
UAACGCGUGAGCAAUCUGCCUUUAGGAGGGGGAUAACAGUCGGAAACGGCUGCUAAUACCGCAUAAUGUAUGUCCUUCGCAUGUUGGACAUACCAAAGGAGCAAUCCGCCUUUAGAUGAGCUCGCGUCUGAUUAGCUAGUUGGCGGGGUAACGGCCCACCAAGGCGACGAUCAGUAGCCGGACUGAGAGGUUGAACGGCCACAUUGGGACUGAGACACGGCCCAG